This 587-nucleotide ribosomal RNA is filed under the name Geotrichum sp. XM05D. RNAcentral describes it as "eukaryotic LSU rRNA". It matches the Rfam family "Eukaryotic large subunit ribosomal RNA", at positions 37 to 664 of the family's 3401-position model. Lineage: Eukaryota; Fungi; Ascomycota; Dipodascomycetes; Dipodascales; Dipodascaceae. The record is from RNAcentral.
UGCAUAUCCAAAAAGCGGAGGAAAAGAAACCAACAGGGAUUGCCUUAGUAACGGCGAGUGAAGCGGCAAAAGCUCAAAUUUGAAAUCGGCCACCAGGUCGAGUUGUAAUUUGUAGAUUGUAUCUUGAGAGCGGAUUAAAGUCUGUUGGAACACAGCGCCUUAGAGGGUGACAGCCCCGUAAAAUCUAUUCUCAUUGUAAGAUACUUUCGAAGAGUCGAGUUGUUUGGGAAUGCAGCUCUAAGUGGGAGGUAAAUUCCUUCUAAAGCUAAAUAUUGACGAGAGACCGAUAGCGAACAAGUACUGUGAAGGAAAGAUGAAAAGCACUUUGAAAAGAGAGUGAAAAAGUACGUGAAAUUGUUAAAAGGGAAGGGUAUUGAAUCAGACUUGGUGCUGUUGUUCAACUGUGUUUCGGCAUAGUGUACUCAGCAGUACUAGGCCAAGGUGGGGUGUUUGGGAGUGAAAAAGAAGUUGGAAGGUAACUCUUCGGAGUGUUAUAGCCUACUUUCAUAGCUCCUCAGGCGCCUCAGGACUGCGCUUCGGCAAGGACCUUGGCAUAAUGAUUCUAUACCGCCCGUCUUGAAACACGG